GUUGUGAACAAAUAUUGAAGCUUGUGGGAAUUCAGGGGUUAUAAACACAGGGAAACGAUACGUGAUAUGGUAUAUAUAUAGCUCUCAAUGAAUGUGUAUGAGGAAAAAGUGCAGUAACAGAAGGGAUAAAAGGCGGAGAGAGAGUUUUAUAGCACAAGCAUGUCUAUACAAGGACUGCUGGUCUCUACUCGAAUAUUCUCCGGUGUGGAGACCCAGUGGGCAAAAUUUUAAAACGAAAAUUGCGAAUGACCGAUCGCUCCCGGUUGGUAUAUUGGACUGUUUUUCAUGCAAACGUGCGUCCCGUAACUGAUGUCCGUUUAGACGACCAUCGAGGGUCUGUGUUUGCGAGAUUUCGCCUUGUAUUUGUCCCACAAUUUUUUUCGCUGCGCAAAAGCUACACAGCUACAGCUACACAGUUUAUUUACCUUGUAAAUGCGACA
This 440-nucleotide long non-coding RNA is filed under the name Neodiprion pinetum (white pine sawfly). Its description in RNAcentral is "uncharacterized LOC124213799". Lineage: Eukaryota; Metazoa; Arthropoda; Insecta; Hymenoptera; Diprionidae. The record is from RNAcentral.